CAUAAUACAAAGUUUAAAAAGAAUUCUGGAUUGCAGUCAUGCUUUAUUCUGCCUUCAGGUACCUGUGUGGCCGUGGAUGCGUCACAGCCUUCUUCAGAAGACUGACAGCUUCUACCUGCAUGGCUUUUCCCAGGGUCACACAUGGCCUCCUAUGCAAGGACCUCACAUGCUGUUUCUGCAGGGUCUCCCCAUCUCCGUCAUUCAGCAAAGGGCAGAGACCCAACCGGGAGGCAGUGACAUCUCCGUCCAAAUCCAACCAUUCCAAAGAGCCAUUGCCACUGACAACCUCUCCGACCUGGGAACGAGGAAUGAGCGCGGGUGCCCUUCUGAGAAACAAAGUCCUGCCCCCAACAAGCUUAUAACUUAGAUGAGAAAAUUGAUGUCCAGAGACUUUCCCAAGGACACAGAGCUAGCAAACACAGGCAGAAAAGUUAUCCUGGGAAUGGAAGAACUGAGGAAGCCCAGGAAAAGGACCUGGAUUCAGCUAAGUACUUUUCAUAAACAGAGAACGUGAGAAAAAACAAAGUAUGCCAAGUUUAGGCUACUGUCCCUAUCCAAAGGAAGUUAUCAUGAACCCCUAAGAGAACAAAACAAAGAAAGCCAGUCACCAUCCCCUAAGGCAAACACACUCCCCACUCAAGGCUCAAUGGAGACAACUGUCUCUAAACUAGAUAGAACCUCUCCGUCUGAGGAAUAAUGGGAGGAGAUGAGACCCACUACCAGGGUGAUAUAAACCACAAAUGAGUCCACCCAACAAACCCACCUUCAAUUCAUUUUGGAGAACCAGCUCCUUCAGAUUCUCAUCCUUUUCCUCAUUCAAUGAACUGAAGUUUCUCUGCACAAAGAGAAAGAUGUGCUUCAUGGGUCUCACCCUUACUCUUAUGAAGGAAAAGAAGGGCAGAUUAAAAAAAAAAAAAAACGACCUUAUCAUUAAAAUCAGAAACAAAUCAGAAGCUUAAAUAUUGGGGAUCAAUUUGGUACAAAGGAGGAAAAUUCAAAGAAAUUCUUCUGGAGGGGCCCAUUCUCUUAAUCCUCCUACACACAGAAUAACAGCCAUUCAGGCAAUUGCCCUUCGGACAGCAAAGAUGAUAUAUUGAUGAUGCCCACCCCAUCCGAAACUACUCAGGUAAUCAGAGUAAUCUAAGUCCUGUCUUUGCUCCUGACUCUGUUCUACAAGUGUCACUUAAGCGAAAACACAAAAUGCAGCAGAGCUCAGCUUCCAUGCAGAAGAAAAGCAGGUUUUGUGUACAGAAAAGUUCCGAUUGCCUGAAUACCAGUUCGAAGCUCAACAGCAUGGCUUUUAGUCUUCUGAUCUCCUCCCUGAGUUCUCGGAUCAGUUUUAUAUUGGCAUCCUGAAACAUAAAAAACUUGGUCACCACUGAUUGAUAUCAGGCCUCAACCAGCUUUAAAAUAAAACAGAGAAUUAGUUCGGAAAAAGUGGUUUACUCCUGUGGAGUAACUUCUGAGGCAGUCUUCUCAAAGUAUGAUCCCAGAACCCUAUCAACUUUACCUAAAAACUUGUUAGAAAUGCAAAUUCUGCCCCCCACCAACACCUACCGAAUCAGAAACUCUUGAGAGGCAGAGCCCAGUUGUGGUUUAACCAACCCUCAAGGAGUUGAUUCUGAUAAAGUAUGAGAAUCAGUGUCCUUGAGCAGGAGGUUGACAGGUAACCCAAAAAGCAGCACAAAUAGGUGGUAGAUGUUGGCCUUCCUAUAGUGUGACUGAAUUUAGUACCUACUUAAUUACAUUGCCUUCUAAAACAGUUCAUAAAUGGGCUAUAAAGGUCUAGCCACCAGUUUAUGAUUCCUGCCCUGAAACUUUUCACUGAAACUGCAAAGAUAAGGAAUUUUUCAUUAUUAGUCAACUUUCAAAACUAUUAAAUUCCUUACAAGCCCCUUUUAGCCCGAAACAGAGAAAUCACUGCAGUUUGCAUAGAAAAGAAAGAAAACAGGGGUGCCUGGGUGGCUCGGUUGGUCAAGCGUCCAACUCCUGGUUUCAGCUCAGAUUAUGAAACCUUGUGGUUUCAUGGGGACAGUCCCCUUGUCAGGCUCCACAAUGAUAGUACAGAGCCUGCUUGGGAUUCUCUGUCUCCCUCUCUAUCUGCCCCUCCACCACUCACACUGUCUCUGUCUCUCUCAAAAUAAAUAAACUUAAAAAAAAAAAAAGAAAAAGAAAAGAUAUAAAACAGAAGCAUAUAUCAACAUAAACUCAAAAUAAAAGCAAUAAACACAGAAACUUUUAAAUGAUCUCCCUUAAGGUGGCAGUGGUACACCAGGGAUGGCCUCAGAGAAGUAUCUAAAAUAAACUAUUCAAAAAGGCAACUGAAAUGGAGUCAGUAAAGAUACGGGAGAAGGGUAUGACUCUGAAACAAAGAAUUUCACUCUUUCUUUAUUUGGAGAAGAAGGUCAGGCAAGUUGAGGUGACUGUAAGGAGAAAGAAAUCAGUGAGAGAAUAAAAGAACUUAAUGUAAACAAUACCAAACCAGGACUUCAAAUAAAGGUCUCACCUCAUU
Molecule: long non-coding RNA, 2512 nt
Organism: Felis catus (domestic cat)
Lineage: Eukaryota; Metazoa; Chordata; Mammalia; Carnivora; Felidae
Exons: 6
Source: RefSeq, a predicted model, not a curated record